AAUUCAGCAAACUCACGGGAUAA
This 23-nucleotide microRNA is filed under the name Bombyx mori (domestic silkworm). Its description in RNAcentral is "bmo-miR-2838". Lineage: Eukaryota; Metazoa; Arthropoda; Insecta; Lepidoptera; Bombycidae. The record is from miRBase by way of RNAcentral.